Molecule: ribosomal RNA, 434 nt
Filed under: uncultured bacterium
Lineage: Bacteria
Description: bacterial SSU rRNA
Rfam family: Bacterial small subunit ribosomal RNA
Source: RNAcentral
UCGGGAAUUUUGGGCAAUGGGCGAAAGCCUGACCCAGCAACGCCGCGUGAAGGAUGAAGUAUUUCGGUAUGUAAACUUCGUAAGAAUAGGAAGAAUAAAUGACGGUACUAUUUGUAAGGUCCGGCUAACUACGUGCCAGCAGCCGCGGUAAUACGUAGGGACCAAGCGUUGUUCGGAUUUACUGGGCGUAAAGGGCGCGUAGGCGGCGUGGUAAGUCAUCUGUGAAAUCUCCGAGCUUAACUCGGAACGGUCAGAUGAUACUGCUGUGCUAGAGUACAGAAAGGGCAAUCGGAAUUCUUGGUGUAGCGGUGAAAUGCGUAGAUAUCAAGAGGAACACCUGAGGCGAAGGCGGGUUGCUAGGCUGAUACUGACGCUGAGGCGCGAAAGCUAGGGUAGCAAACGGGAUUAGAUACCCAGGUAGUCCCUGAGCGGGC